This 180-nucleotide ribosomal RNA is filed under the name uncultured bacterium. Its description in RNAcentral is "partial 16S ribosomal RNA". It matches the Rfam family "Bacterial small subunit ribosomal RNA", at positions 1321 to 1500 of the family's 1533-position model. The record is from RNAcentral.
UGAAGCUGGAAUCGCUAGUAAUCGCGGAUCAGAAUGCCGCGGUGAAUACGUUCCCGGGUCUUGUACACACCGCCCGUCACACCAUGGGAGUCGGAAAUGCCCGAAGUCUGUGACCCAACCUACGGGAGGGAGCAGCCGAAGGCAGGUCGGAUGACUGGGGUGAAGUCGUAACAAGGUACC